Molecule: long non-coding RNA, 569 nt
Filed under: Actinidia chinensis (golden kiwifruit)
Lineage: Eukaryota; Viridiplantae; Streptophyta; Magnoliopsida; Ericales; Actinidiaceae
Description: long non-coding RNA (ACHI_LNC005607)
Source: RNAcentral
CACCAUUCAUGCUUCGAAAUCGAACGAAACUGGACAAGAUUUGAUUCAAGCCAAAACAACCCAGUCAAACUAAUCUAUUUCAAACCCAGUCAAGCCCAACAACUAUACCAAAUUUUCAAACAGGAUGUCUACUAAACAAAAUGCCAUACCAUUGCAUGCGAGUAAAAAACCAUAAUUAAUCAAAACAAAAUAUCUAUUAAUCACACAUGCAAACAGAAUCAUGAGAUUGCGUCUACACCUAUUUUCGUGAGAUUAGGUCGGAGUACUUCGGCUUCAAAAUCGAACGAAACAGGAUAGGGUUUGAGGAACAAUCGGAAAAUCGAUAGCGCGAGGGAAAGAAUCGGCGACAAUGGGGUCUAAGGAGGUGACGUGCUCGUAAGGAUAGAUCGAAGUGUCUAACUGGCGAUUGGCCGGCCGACAAAGGGCGUAAAGUUGCCGACUCUAGCGACGGAUGUGGUGCCGAAGCCGUUAGGAAAGCUUGAAGGGAAUGCAUUUUAGAGAGAGAUAAGGGAGUAACAGCUAGGUUGUUUUGAAGGGAACGCGAGAGAGAGAGUAACAGUAAGUUGUUA